GAAACGCGAUAGGUAAUGUGAAUUGCAGAAUUCCGUGAAUCAUCGAAUCUUUGAACGCACAUUGCGCCUUCUGGUAUUCCGGGAGGCAUGUCUGUUUGAGCGUCAGCAAAAACUCCUCGCUGAACAUUUUCUGUACAGGAAACGUUCAGGCGGAUUUGGGUAUGAAGGACUGGAGGUUAAUUCCUCUGCUUCAGCUUUAAACUUGCUGCACGACCGCCAAAUUCUUUCUGAGUCAGGUCAAUGGAGUGGGUUUUACUUAUCUUUCCAUAUACUGUACCAGAUAUUUUGUUGGUGGCGUUAAACCAUACGGCCGACCCUUAUUUAAGGGGGGCGACUGAAGUUUGACCUCAAAUCAGACAAGGAUACCCGCUGAACUUAA
RNAcentral lists this unclassified non-coding RNA (379 nucleotides) under uncultured Orbiliales. RNAcentral describes it as "sequence contains ITS1". The stretch from base 1 to 105 matches the Rfam family "5.8S ribosomal RNA", at positions 50 to 154 of the family's 154-position model. Lineage: Eukaryota; Fungi; Ascomycota; Orbiliomycetes; Orbiliales. The record is from RNAcentral.